GAUGAACGCUGGCGGCGUGCCUAACACAUGCAAGUCGAGCGAAGCACCUUACUUGAUUUCUUCGGGAUGAAAGUAUUGUGACUGAGCGGGCGUGGGCAAGGACGCUAGUAGACUGCUCAUACAGGGGAUAACAGUUAGAAAUGACUGCUAAUACCGCAUAAGACCACAGCACCGCAUGGUGCAGGGGUAAAAACUCCGGUGGUAUGAGAUGGAUCCGCGUCUGAUUAGCUAGUUGGUAAGGUAACGGCUUACCAAGGCAACGAUCAGUAGCCGACCUGAGAGGGUGACCGGCCACAUUGGGGACUGAGACACGGCCCAAA
Molecule: ribosomal RNA, 320 nt
Filed under: uncultured bacterium
Lineage: Bacteria
Description: bacterial SSU rRNA
Rfam family: Bacterial small subunit ribosomal RNA
Source: RNAcentral